Teleopsis dalmanni is the source of this 2025-nucleotide long non-coding RNA. RefSeq lists it as uncharacterized. The record is from RefSeq and is a predicted model, not a curated record. The transcript is spliced from 3 exons. NCBI's taxonomy places the organism in Eukaryota, Metazoa, Arthropoda, Insecta, Diptera, Diopsidae.
UCACAUCAGUUGCACAAUUUUGGUUAUCUUUCCAGUUCCAACUUUUCCAAAUUUUACAGUUAAGUACAAAUCUCUUAUUACUAUGUUGCAGAUAGAGGAAAUCGAUCGUUUACCCUUAGCCGAAAUAAUCAGCAGAUUCCGAAGGACUAACUUGAGCAAAGCUUUAUCGGCAGCUAGAAGUAUUUUGCCGCUAUCACAUCAAGUGAUCAUAUUUCACCUCGCUGCGGAACCAAAUCUGUUUGAGAUGAAGAUAUAUAACCCAUGGGGUAACACACACAUUAUUGGCAAAACUCUCUGUAAUGCAAUGUCCAUUGAGUUAAUGCAGCAUAUACCAGAUUAUGAAAUUUGUCGAAUAUCUUAUGUGUCCCGAUACAUUACGGAGGAGAUGUCGCUACACAUAGCCACAAAUAUUGCUGAACAGCAUAUAGAAUAUUUGCUGCAAUUAACUUAUUUGGAUGUAGGUUUUGACGAUGAAAUUUUUGAUGAUGAAGAAGUCGGCGAUGACUUUAACACCGGUCCGCAUCAAGGUAAUGGAGAUAGUUUACCGCUCCCUAUACAAGCAAACGUGGAAGUUCACGCUCAUUUUGAGGAAGGUUAGAUGUUGUGGAUGAAAUAGCGAUUUCAGCAAGAAGUGCUAUCAAAACUAGGAGGAAUUAAUGACACUUCACAAAGGUUUACAAAAAUAAUUAUAAUCUGCUUACUACGUCUAUCAUGUAAGUAUAACAGGUUCACAAGAAAUAGAGUUAAAAAAAUAACAACAAUGAGCUCGUAAAAUUAACGAAUCGGUGACAUCAUGAAAUAGGGAAAUUAGAUAUGGUUGGAAAUAUUACAUGGAAAGUUUGAACAGUUCAAAGCCUUUAACUUUAAUUCCGACAUAAAAGUAUUGUAGAUCUUACAAACAUCUUGAAUUUACCUUGCAGAAAUCCUCCAAAAACUCAAGUUUCAUAUCCCCGUAAAUGUGCCUGGGCGUGUCACCAAUCAAAAUGAGCCAAGUUUAUGGUUUCUUGGUCUUUUUACAACAUCCGAAUCAUUACAAUUUGGGCAUAACUUAUUCUGUAAAUGUUUUUUUUGGCGAAAACGAUGUCGACGAUAUAGUUAACUCUGGACCGUGUUGGGGCUACUAACGUACGGUAAGUUACUGAACACUGUCAAAGCAAACAUCGCUGUAAAUGCGCAUUACACAAGAUUAGAUAUUGAGGAUCACGUCACAACAUGUCAUUAUGCGUAUCAACAGUCUUGUGCAUCUUGGCGUUUUCGCAACAUCCGAAUUAGUCGGGGUCCAAGCUGUGCGCUUCAAAACUAUUAUUGGAUUUUUAGAAAUAAUUCAGUGGCUGAUCCGUUAUGUUUAAUAUAACAGACCAAUGCUACCCACGACAACUUGCUGUUUAACACAAUGAGAGAAUUCAGAAGGCACAGUAACAUCUGAAUCUGAACGUGAUGUUAUGAAAGAUGUUGAUUGUAUAGUAAUUUCACAAAAUGCUCCCAAACACAUCUGCAAGAUUAAUCCAGAAAAGCUGUAAUACCAUAUAUUUUGCAAACAGUGCAUCAACCUUUUGUCUACCUCACUGCCUUGUUGAGAUUAAAGUGGAACAUUACCUAAGUAUGAUCCAUAAACCUAUUUGAAUGGAAAAUACUAACACAAAAUUUAAUGAAAAUCUUUUGAGUUCCGGAACUAUAUUUUAGAACAAAAACUUCAAAUAUUCGAAAAUUAGUUGAAGAUUGAAUCAAUGGCAGCAGCUGGCAUAAAAGGAUAUCAGCACUAUUAAUCUUAAUAACCAUCUCAAAACCGAGUAAGAUGUACAACCUUGUUAUUGUAAACCAGAAGCUUAAGGUAUUCAUUGGUUUUUGGCGAAAACAGAGAGAUAUGGAGGCAGAUAUGCAGUUGCCAGUUAAGGUACGACUUAUUUAGUCUCUGAUGGCCACUAUCGUUGAUGUAAACAUUAUAGUACAUCUAAAUUUCGUCUUAAAACUUCAAAACAAAGAACAUGAACUUCAUAAUGUUUACAUUGGAUCAUUUAAUUAUAA